Molecule: ribosomal RNA, 497 nt
Filed under: uncultured bacterium
Lineage: Bacteria
Description: partial 16S ribosomal RNA
Rfam family: Bacterial small subunit ribosomal RNA
Source: RNAcentral
GAUGAACGCUGGCGGCGUGCCUAAUACAUGCAAGUCGAGCGAACAGAUAAGGAGCUUGCUCCUUUGACGUUAGCGGCGGACGGGUGAGUAACACGUGGGUAACCUACCUAUAAGACUGGGAUAACUUCGGGAAACCGGCGCUAAUACCGGAUAAUAUUUCGAACCGCAUGGUUCGAUAGUGAAAGAUGGUUUUGCUAUCACUUAUAGAUGGACCCGCGCCGUAUUAGCUAGUUGUUAAGGUAACGGGUUACCAAGGCGACGAUACGUAGCCGACCUGAUAGGGGGAUCGGCCACACUGGAACUGAGACACGGUCCAGACUCCUACGGGAGGCAGCAGUAGGGAAUCUUCCGCAAUGGGCGAAAGCCUGACGGAGCAACGCCGCGUGAGUGAUGAAGGUCUUCGGAUCGUAAAACUCUGUUAUUAGGGAAGAACAUACGUGUAAGUAACUGUGCACGUCUUGACGGUACCUAAUCAGAAAGCCACGGCUAACUACGUG